Molecule: ribosomal RNA, 484 nt
Filed under: uncultured bacterium
Lineage: Bacteria
Description: partial 16S ribosomal RNA
Rfam family: Bacterial small subunit ribosomal RNA
Source: RNAcentral
AUUGAACGCUGGCGGCAGGCCUAACACAUGCAAGUCGAGCGGAUGAAGGGAGCUUGCUCCUGGAUUCAGCGGCGGACGGGUGAGUAAUGCCUAGGAAUCUGCCUGGUAGUGGGGGAUAACGUCCGGAAACGGGCGCUAAUACCGCAUACGUCCUGAGGGAGAAAGUGGGGGAUCUUCGGACCUCACGCUAUCAGAUGAGCCUAGGUCGGAUUAGCUAGUUGGUGGGGUAAAGGCCUACCAAGGCGACGAUCCGUAACUGGUCUGAGAGGAUGAUCAGUCACACUGGAACUGAGACACGGUCCAGACUCCUACGGGAGGCAGCAGUGGGGAAUAUUGGACAAUGGGCCAGAACCUGAUCCAGCCAUGCCGCGUGUGUGAAGAAGGUCUUCGGAUUGUAAAGCACUUUAAGUUGGGAGGAAGUGCAGUAAGUUAAUACCUUGCUGUUUUGACGUUACCAACAGAAUAAGCACCGGCUAACUUCGUG